This 136-nucleotide small nucleolar RNA is filed under the name Drosophila persimilis. Its description in RNAcentral is "snoRNA:GL28032". The record is from RNAcentral. Lineage: Eukaryota; Metazoa; Arthropoda; Insecta; Diptera; Drosophilidae.
GGAAUGUUCUCAGGAAGAUGUUAUAACCAUUCAGUUGUGUAUCUUUAAUUGAUGUUCCUAGAGUAAAUUUCGUGGAGUUUUAUUUAUUUCGCAAAUGAACUAUGGCUUCAUUUGGGUGUCGAUUUAAUUUCGUACA